GCCCGGUUAGCUCAAUCGGUAGAGCGUGAGACUCUUAUAAGGAACAUCUCAAGGUUGCGGGUUCGACCCCCGCAUCGGGCU
RNAcentral lists this transfer RNA (81 nucleotides) under Coniochaeta sp. 2T2.1. It matches the Rfam family "tRNA". From Rfam's summary of the family: Transfer RNA (tRNA) molecules are approximately 80 nucleotides in length. The record is from Rfam by way of RNAcentral. Lineage: Eukaryota; Fungi; Ascomycota; Sordariomycetes; Coniochaetales; Coniochaetaceae.